RNAcentral lists this ribosomal RNA (1819 nucleotides) under Gossypium barbadense (sea-island cotton). RNAcentral's name for it is "bacterial SSU rRNA". It matches the Rfam family "Eukaryotic small subunit ribosomal RNA". The record is from RNAcentral. Lineage: Eukaryota; Viridiplantae; Streptophyta; Magnoliopsida; Malvales; Malvaceae.
CCCGGUUGAUCCUGCUAGUAGUCAUAUGCUUGUCUCAAAAAUUAGGCUAUGUAUGUGUAAGUUUGAAAAAAUUCAGACUGUGAAACUUUGAAUGGCUCAUUAAAUCAGUUAUAGUUUGUUUGAUGGUAUUUGGUACUCAGAUAACCAUAGUAAUUCUAGAGCUAAUACGUGCAACAAACCUCGACUUUUAGAAGGGAUGCAUUUAUUAGAUAAAAGGUCGACGCAGGCUUCGCCCGUUGCUUUGAUCAACCAUGAUAACUCAAUAGAUCGCACGGCCUUUAUGCCGGCGACGCAUCAUUCAAAUUUCUGCCCUAUCAACUUUCAAUGGUAGGAUAGUGGCCUACUAUGGUAGUGAUAGGUGACAGAGAAUUAGGGUUUGAUUCCAGAGAGGGAGCUUGAAAAAUGGCUACCACAUCCAAGAAAGGUAGUAGGCACGAAAAUUACCCAAUCCUGACAUGGGGAGGAAGUGACAAAAAUAACAAUACCAGGCUCUAUGAAUCUGGUAAUUAAAAUGAGUACAAUCUAAAUCCCUUAACGAGGAUCCACUGGAGGGCAAGUGUGGUGCCAGCAAUCGCGGUAAUUCUAGCUCCAAUAGCGUAUACUUAAUUUGUUGCAUUUAGAAAGCUCGUAGUUGGACUUAGAAGUAAGCUCGUAGUUGGACUUAGAAGUGGGUCGAUCGAUCCACCUUAUGGUGAGCACCAGUCUGCUCGUCCCUACUGCCAACGAUGCGCUUCUGGCCUUAAUUGGCCGGGUCGUUCCUCCGACGCUGCUACUUUUAAGAAAUUAAAGUUCUUAAAGUAGGCCUAUGCUUGUAUACAUUACCCUGGGAUAACAUCAUAGGAUUUUGAUCCUAUUGUAUUGGCCUUUGGAAUGGAGUAAUGAUUAACAAGGACAGUCAGGGGCAUUCGUAUUUCACAGUCAAAGGUGGAAUUCUUGGAUUUAUGAAAGACAAACAACUGCGAAAUCAUUUUCCAAGGAUAUUUUCAUUAAUCAAGAAUAAAAUUUGGGGGCUCGAAGAUGAUUAGAUACCGUCCUAGUCUCAAAAAUAAAUGUUGCUGACUAGGGAUCAGCGGAUGUUACUUUUAAGACUCCGCCGGCACCUUAUGAGAAAUCAAAGUCUUUAGGUUCCGGGUGAGUAUGGUCGUAAGGCUGAAAUUUAAAGGAAUUGAUGGAAGGGCACCACCAGAAGUGGAGCUUGCAGCUUAAUUUGACUCAACACGGGGAAACUUACCAGGUCUAGACAUAGUAAGGAUUGACAGACUAAGAGCUCUUUCUUGAUUCUAUGGGUGGUGGUGCAUGGCCGUUCUUAGUUGGUUGAGUAAUUUGUCUAGUUAAUUCCUUUAACGAAUGAGACCUCAGCCUGUUAACUAGCUACACGGAGGUGAUCCCCCAUGGCUAGCUUCUUAGAGGCACUAUGGCCUUUUAGGCAAAAGAAGUUUGAGGCAAUAACAGAUCUAUGUUGCCCUUAGAAGUUCUGGGAUGCACACACGCUACACUGAUGUAUUCAACGAGUCUAUAGCCUUGGCUGACAGGCCUGAGUAAUCUUUGAAACUUUAUCAUGAUGGGGAUAGAUCAUUGCAAUUGUUGGUCUUCAACUAGGAAUUCUUAGUUAGCGCAAGUCAUUAGCUCGUGCUGACUAUGUUCUUACCCUUUAUACACACCACUCGUCACUCCUACCGAUUGAAUGGUCCGGUGAAGUGUUCGGAUCACGGCAACGUUGGCGGUUCGCUGCCCGCAACGUCAUAAGAAGUCCACUGAACCUUAUCAUUUAGAGGAAGGAGAAGUCGUUACAAGGUUUCCGUAGGUGAACCUAUAGAAG